UGGGUGUGAGGAGCGGGGACCUGAGUGGGUAGGACUCGGGAGAAACCCUGGGGGAGUAAGCGGCUUUUGGCAGCUGCGGCCCUCGGACCCUGCCCCGAGUGCAGAAAUGGGGAACCAUGCCGGCCUCUCUGCCCAGCGCAAUGGGCGGAACUGAAGCCCCGAGGGGAAGCUUUGUAUUGGGGGUGCAGUUGAAGGCGGUUAAUGGUGAAGCCAUUCUGAGUUUGUGUGUUGACUCUGUUUGCUGAGGCUAAACACUAUCAUGCCAAGUUGGUGAAUAUAAGAAAAGAGAUGCUGAUGCUUCAUGAAAAAACAUCAAAGUUAAAAAAAAGAGCACUUAAACUGCAGCAGAAGAGGCAAAAAGAAGAGUUGGAAAGGGAGCAGCAACGAGAGAAGGAGUUUGAAAGAGAAAAGCAGUUAACUGCCAGACCAGCCAAAAGGACGUGAAAAGCUGUGUUUGUGUGUUUUCUUCUCCUGUCCCAUAUUUGGGUUAUGAUGACUCAAGUGUAGACUGAAGUUGAGGUAGUGCCUUACGCCAUUAUGUCAUAUGUUGAAAUCCUUAUUCCGGUAUUACUUUGUCUCCAUGCCUUUUUUCCAAGUAGCAGACGUCAUGUUGCUUGGUUUU
Molecule: small RNA, 622 nt
Filed under: Pongo abelii (Sumatran orangutan)
Lineage: Eukaryota; Metazoa; Chordata; Mammalia; Primates; Hominidae
Description: processed transcript
Source: RNAcentral